ACCAUGUCACCUACCUCCCAAAUCAGAUCUCAGAUCCGCUCCUCUCUCUCACUCUCUUACUCUCUGAUCGCUUCUCACCCUCUCACUUAGACGACGCCAGCCUCCACACUCCCUUCGCACUCUCUCAGAUGUAGCUCUACCGUGAACCUCCUCCACCGCCACAGCCGCCGACCCCACAGCUGCCACAGCUGCCACCACCUCUCCUGCGAAGACGCCGACGCUGCCACCGCUUAUCCUGCGAAAACGCCGACGCUACCACCGCCUUUGCCCCAGCCCUCACCGUCCACUAGCGCAUGCAAGCAGGUUCGUUUUUUUUUUCUUUUUCCUUUUUUUAUAGUUAAUAAUAUAUGUGUGUUUUAUUGUUGUCUUGACAAGAUUUCUCCAGCCUAGACGACACAUUGCCAGUGCCAUCUCCUCCUCCCCUGAUCUGCAGGUUGAUGAAACUGAAAUUUCAAAGUCUGCUGGCUCUACCGAAGGGCAAAAAACUGUGAAAAAGGUCAUUGACUAUUGCUAUGAACUUGAGAUGGAGGAGGGUAGCUCUUAUGAAACAUUAGCCUAUGCACUGCUCUCAGUUUAUUCUCUCAAGGUUCACUGGAGAUAGGUUCUUCACUGGUAUUGAAGUUGCUUGAAAAAGAUGAAGCUUGUUUGUUGAAGCAUCCAAUAGAUGAAGAGUUCGAGAGUUUGUAUAGUAUUCUGAUUAGUAUCAUAAACUUGUAUUGUAAUGAAACUACUACUCGGUUUACAAUUACUAUUUGCAUUUUAAAUUAAAUUUACAGAGCAGUGAUUUUUUUUUA
This is a long non-coding RNA of Ipomoea triloba (trilobed morning glory), 794 nucleotides long. RefSeq lists it as uncharacterized. The transcript has 4 exons. NCBI's taxonomy places the organism in Eukaryota, Viridiplantae, Streptophyta, Magnoliopsida, Solanales, Convolvulaceae. The record is from RefSeq and is a predicted model, not a curated record.